This 1492-nucleotide long non-coding RNA is filed under the name Serinus canaria (Common canary). Its description in RNAcentral is "lncRNA (ENSSCAG00000006632.1)". The record is from RNAcentral. Lineage: Eukaryota; Metazoa; Chordata; Aves; Passeriformes; Fringillidae.
UGUCAAUAUCAUGAUAAAUGUUUUGUCUCCACAGGAAAAUAAUUUAUUAGUGGGAAUAUUUUUUUUAAUUGUUCUAAACUAGAUAAAAUCUAACACUAUAAAAAAAUUUCUAGAGCAAGACUAGGACAAAAUUAUCUCAAAAUGGAGCAGAAUAAGGAGUGUACCCACAGUCUGGCAUAACUGAAGCAUUAAUUACUGGAAAAGGCUACCAGAAAUAUUUAAAGGAAUGGCAUCUGUAACAAAAUGGUGCUUUUCUGCUGUAUUCCAGGCAAGCAAAUAUAUGAGUCACCAUCUGAAAUAUGAUGCUAAGAAAACAUUGCAACUGCAAUUGGUUGGUUUCAGGAGCGUAUUAUAUUUAUGAAAACCUGAAGUUUUAUCCUUCAUAUUAAAAAAAAAAAAAAAAAAAAAGUGUUCUCUCCUUGAGAUCUUUGAUUUCCUUUGCCUAAUUUCUAGAUUCAGAAAGCAAAUUAUUUUGUAAUUAUUUUACUAUAUUUUUUUUUCAGCUACAUAGCCUCCUUGUGCUUGCAUUAAUUUGAUGUGCAUCCAUCUUAAUUGAAGCUGAUCCAUCUCAAUCUUGGCAGCACAUUGAUAAUAAACAGGAACCAAACACCAUUUGGCAAAUUCCAAUCUACCAGCAAAACCAGGGAGAAAGCAGAAAACCUGGGGCCAUCUCUUGGAAUCAGUUUCUGGGCUGCAACUCAAUCUUCAUGUGCCAAGCUGCUUGUAAACAGCGAGGGCCUUUGUUUAAUUGUUGGGUGUUCGUGAACCUCUGAAGAUUGCUGUGCUCCACCUUUCAGCGUUUAGCUGAGUACAUCGUCUCCAAGACCUUUCACCAAGCAUCCAUCAGCAAGGAGUUCAAGCUAAGCAAGACAUUACCCCGUUCCAGAGGCUGAGCAAAUCACAUGCCUACCCUGUAACUAAUUACUUCUAUUGGCUGAUUGGUUUUUAAUGCAUCUGUUUUACAGGUUCAUGAAGACUCACCUGUGCUGGACCAUGAAACAGCAGCUGCACCUGCAUGAAAACCUUCUGAACGUGGCAUUAAGACAGACAUCGGGGUGGUCGCUGCUGUUCAAGAGCUUGCCCAUGGUGAAAAUGGCCUCACUCCCUUGGGUCUGACAUAAAGAGGAGAGAAACAGCAAAAAAUUCUUUGCUGGAAAUCAGGAUGGGUCCUUGGACUUUGCUGAGCCUGUUUGUUGAUGUGACCUGAGCACAUGGCUCCCUGGGUGGGUGGGAGUCUCACACCUCCAACUUGAUGGAUGGAACAACAGUGGUGGAUGAGCUGUUACUUGCCUGAAAAAAAGUGUUUUGGGGGAAAAUUGUCUCCAGUCAUUCUCAUUUUGCAUGUGAUUUUUCCUACAUAUGUUUCUAAUCAUUAAGAAAUUCUGUAGCUUAAAUAAUGCUCUGAAAGUACGGUAACUGUUGGACUACAUUCUGUUGUAACCUUAUUGAAUUUCACUUCUCUGGAAAAAAUAAUGGGAUACUAUAUCUUGAA